GACGAACGCUGGCGGCGUGCUUAACACAUGCAAGUCGAACGGAAAGGCCCUGCUUUUGUGGGGUGCUCGAGUGGCGAACGGGUGAGUAACACGUGAGUAACCUGCCCUUGACUUUGGGAUAACUUCAGGAAACUGGGGCUAAUACCGGAUAGGAGCUCCUGCUGCAUGGUGGGGGUUGGAAAGUUUCGGCGGUUGGGGAUGGACUCGCGGCUUAUCAGCUUGUUGGUGGGGUAGUGGCUUACCAAGGCUUUGACGGGUAGCCGGCCUGAGAGGGUGACCGGCCAGAGUGGGGGAGAGUUGCGGCAGGGGCUGAUACGGGAGGCAGCAGUGGGGGAUGUUGGACGAUGGGCGGAAGCCUGAAGCAGCAACGCCGCGGGGGGGAUGAGGGACUUCGGGUUGUAAAACAAUAACGCCUGGGAAGAAGCGUGAGAGCAGGGGAUGGGAAAAGAAGGACGGGCAAAGUAUGUG
This 468-nucleotide ribosomal RNA is filed under the name uncultured bacterium. RNAcentral describes it as "partial 16S ribosomal RNA". It matches the Rfam family "Bacterial small subunit ribosomal RNA", at positions 28 to 507 of the family's 1533-position model. The record is from RNAcentral.